CCCUUAGAUGGUCUGGGCGGCACGCGCGCUACAAUGAUGCAUUCAAAAAGUCUUCUGACCUUAGAAGGUUGGGUAUUCUCCAAAGUGCAUCGUGAUGGGAAUAGUUUAUUGCAAUUGUUAAUCUUGAACGAGGAAUUCCUAGUAAACGCGAGUCAUCAGCUCGCAUUGAUUACGUCCCUGCCCUUUGUACACACCGCCCGUCGCACCUACCGAUUGAAUGGUUCGGUGAAGAUCUCGGACUUCGAUAUUUAUUCUUUAUUGAGUUUAUAUUGUGGGAAGUUAUCUAAACCUCAUCAUUUAGAGGAAGGUGAAGUCGUAACA
RNAcentral lists this ribosomal RNA (321 nucleotides) under uncultured eukaryote. RNAcentral describes it as "partial 18S ribosomal RNA". It matches the Rfam family "Eukaryotic small subunit ribosomal RNA", at positions 1470 to 1796 of the family's 1831-position model. The record is from RNAcentral.